This 645-nucleotide ribosomal RNA is filed under the name uncultured organism. Its description in RNAcentral is "bacterial SSU rRNA". It matches the Rfam family "Bacterial small subunit ribosomal RNA", at positions 40 to 676 of the family's 1533-position model. The record is from RNAcentral.
CGGCGUGGAUUAGGCAUGCAAGUCGAGCGAACCCGCAAGGGUUAGCGGCAAAAGGGUGAGUAACACGUAAGCAAUCUGCCCUUAAGUCGAGGAUAGCACCGUGAAAACGGUGGUAAUACUCGAUGUUAUCGGAUAUCCGCAUGGAUGACCGAUCAAAGACCGGGACCGCAAGGCCGGUCGUUCGGAGAUGAGCUUGCGUACCAUCAGCUAGUUGGUAGGGUAAUGGCCUACCAAGGCUAAGACGGUUAGCUGGACUGAGAGGUUGACCAGCCACAUUGGGACUGAGACACUGCCCAGACUCCUACGGGAGGCUGCAGUCGAGAAUAUUUAGCAAUGGACGAAAGUCUGACUAUGCGACGCCGCGUGCAGGAUGAAGGUCUUCGGAUCGUAAACUGCUUUUAUUAGGGGAGAAACCUGUAUGGUUAAUAGCCAUACAGCUGACGGUACCUGAUGAAUAAGCCACGGCAAACUCUGUGCCAGCAGCCGCGGUAAUACAGAGGUGGCAAGCGUUACUCGGAAUUAUUGGGUGUAAAGGGCAGGUAGGUGGUUUGAUAAGUGAGGGGUGAAAUCCUGCGAUUUAAUCGCAGAACAGCCUUUCAAACUGUCAGACUUGAGAGAAACAGAGGAAGAUGGAAUUCCCGGUGU